This 441-nucleotide ribosomal RNA is filed under the name uncultured bacterium. RNAcentral describes it as "partial 16S ribosomal RNA". It matches the Rfam family "Bacterial small subunit ribosomal RNA", at positions 339 to 795 of the family's 1533-position model. The record is from RNAcentral.
CUACGGGGUGCGCAGCAGUGGGGAAUAUUGCACAAUGGAGGAAACUCUGAUGCAGCAACGCCGCGUGGAGGAUGACACUUUUCGGAGCGUAAACUCCUUUUAUAUAGGAAGAAGAUGACGGUACUAUAUGAAUAAGCGCCGGCUAACUCCGUGCCAGCAGCCGCGGUAAUACGGAGGGCGCAAGCGUUACUCGGAAUCACUGGGCGUAAAGAGCGUGUAGGCGGAUUAAAAAGUCAGAAGUGAAAUCCUAUAGCUUAACUAUAGAACUGCUUCUGAAACUCUUAAUCUAGAAUAUGGGAGAGGUAGAUGGAAUUUCUGGUGUAGGGGUAAAAUCCGUAGAGAUCAGAAGGAAUACCGAUUGCGAAGGCGAUCUACUAGAACAUUAUUGACGCUGAGACGCGAAAGCGUGGGGAGCAAACAGGAUUAGAUACCCCGGUAGUC